RNAcentral lists this long non-coding RNA (1047 nucleotides) under Sus scrofa (pig). RNAcentral describes it as "lncRNA (ENSSSCG00060054179.1)". Lineage: Eukaryota; Metazoa; Chordata; Mammalia; Artiodactyla; Suidae. The record is from RNAcentral.
GUAGUCGCGGAGCCCGGGCGCCCGCGGCAGCUGAUGUCAGGGGCUGGGCUGCCGCACGAGUGGCCUGACGGGUGCGGGGGAAAAUGUUCGAGCGCGAGCCCCCGCGGGGCCACUGGGGAGACGGAGGGCAGAAACGGGGGCCGUUGGAGCCAGCCUAAGCUUGGGUGUAAGCUCUGUCACUCAGAGCUCGGGACUAGGCGCUUUUGGGUGCAAAACGAGUGGCCCACACAACUCCCUGGCUAGAAGAGGCCCGAGUCUGGGAGGGGAGAGAUUUGGAGAAACCGAAUCUCAACUCCAUGAAGUCAGUGACGUGUCUCUUCUCUGCUGUACUCCGGGUGCCUGAAAUGUGCCUGGCAGGAAACUUUCAUUUUGGCCACAUAUGUACCUGUGUGCACGCAGGCAUGUGUGCUUCUGUGAGCAUGCCCUGGAUCUCAAUGCCAAGGAUUCUGGCAUUUGUCCUCUGCUUCCUGCCUGGGGGGGACCAGCCAGGACUUGCACUCUUGGCCUCACUCCAGCCUGGCUUCCUGACCUGCUCUUGUCUGCUUGGUUCCUGACCCCCGAUUGGCUCCCGCUGACAUCUCCGUCCUCCCUUCACUCUGAACACAUACGUCUCUACCCUGCUCCGCUUGCUCCGACUUUAGCCUCCCUCCUGAUCAUCAUGCACACGCACCCCAUGUCUAUUCUUGCGUUGGCUGAUAACGGCCCUGAAAGAUACCCUUGUGCUAAUCCCUGGACCCUGUAAACUGUACCUUCUAUGGAAAAGGGGUCUUUGCAGAGUUCCCAUUGUGGUUCAAUGGUAAUGAACCCAACUGGUAUCCUUGAGAACUUGGGUUUGAUCCCUGGCCCUGCUCAGUGCAUUAAGGAUCUUGUGUUGCCGUGAGCUGGGGUACAGUUUGCGGAUGUGGCUCGGCUUCCAUGUUGCUGUGGCUGUGGUGUAGGUUGGCAGCUAUAGCUCUGAUUUGACCCCUAGCCUGGGAACUUCCAUAGGCUGCACAUGUAACCCUAAAAAAAAAAAAAAAAAAAAAAAAAAAAAAAAAAAAAAAAAAA